Salmo salar (Atlantic salmon) is the source of this 385-nucleotide non-coding RNA. The record is from RefSeq and is a predicted model, not a curated record. NCBI's taxonomy places the organism in Eukaryota, Metazoa, Chordata, Actinopteri, Salmoniformes, Salmonidae.
CUUCUCAGCGCUGCCUUUACACUGGACGACAUAAUGACUGCGAACAUAGCAAAUGAUUUGGUGAAAUUUGCAGCAGACAAAAGAAACCCAUGCCCCAGAGGCUGGUUCCAAUUUAAUUCACGCUGCUUCAUGUUUGUCAAAACUGCAAUGACAUGGCCCAAAGCAGAGCGCCACUGUCAGUUACUUGGAGAAAAACUGGAACCUGUGCGCAACACUGUAAAGUACCUUGGCGCAAACCUGGCAUCUGUGCACAGCUAUGAAGAGUUCCGAUUUCUACAGGCGGUGGUGUUGAUCAAUACUGGCAGUUUCCCUCUUACCUGGAUUGGCGGAUAUGAUGCUGUUCAGGCAAAGGUGGAAAAGGUACCCAGUUGUCAUAGUUGAGUAA